This 468-nucleotide ribosomal RNA is filed under the name uncultured bacterium. Its description in RNAcentral is "partial 16S ribosomal RNA". It matches the Rfam family "Bacterial small subunit ribosomal RNA", at positions 28 to 507 of the family's 1533-position model. The record is from RNAcentral.
GACGAACGCUGGCGGCGUGCUUAACACAUGCAAGUCGAACGGAAAGGCCCUGCUUUUGUGGGGUGCUCGAGUGGCGAACGGGUGAGUAACACGUGAGUAACCUGCCCUUGACUUUGGGAUAACUUCAGGAAACUGGGGCUAAUACCGGAUAGGAGCUCCUGCUGCAUGGUGGGGGUUGGAAAGUUUCGGCGGUUGGGGAUGGACUCGCGGCUUAUCAGCUUGUUGGUGGGGUAGUGGCUUACCAAGGCUUUGACGGGUAGCCGGCCUGAGAGGGUGACCGGCCACAUUGGGCCUGAGAUACGGCCCAGACUCCUACGGGAGGCAGCAGUGGGGAAUAUUGCACAAUGGGCGGAAGCCUGAUGCAGCAACGCCGCGUGCGGGAUGACGGCCUUCGGAUUGUAAACCGCUUUCGCCUGUGACGAAGCGUGAGUGACGGUAAUGGGUAAAGAAGCACCGGCUAACUACGUG